This 546-nucleotide ribosomal RNA is filed under the name uncultured bacterium. Its description in RNAcentral is "bacterial SSU rRNA". It matches the Rfam family "Bacterial small subunit ribosomal RNA", at positions 777 to 1322 of the family's 1533-position model. The record is from RNAcentral.
AAUAGAUACCCAGGUAGUCCACCCGUAAACGUUGGGAACUAGUUGUGGGGUCCUUUCCACGGAUUCCGUGACGCAGCUAACGCAUUAAGUUCCCCGCCUGGGGAGUACGGCCGCAAGGCUAAAACUCAAAGGAAUUGACGGGGACCCGCACAAGCGGCGGAGCAUGCGGAUUAAUUCGAUGCAACGCGAAGAACCUUACCAAGGCUUGACAUACACCAGAACACCCUAGAAAUAGGGGACUCUUUGGACACUGGUGAACAGGUGGUGCAUGGUUGUCGUCAGCUCGUGUCGUGAGAUGUUGGGUUAAGUCCCGCAACGAGCGCAACCCUCGUUUUAUGUUGCCAGCACGUAAUGGUGGGAACUCAUGGGAUACUGCCGGGGUCAACUCGGAGGAAGGUGGGGAUGACGUCAAAUCAUCAUGCCCCUUAUGUCUUGGGCUUCACGCAUGCUACAAUGGCCGGUACAAAGGGCUGCAAUACCGUGAGGUGGAGCGAAUCCCAAAAAGCCGGUCCCAGUUCGGAUUGAGGUCUGCAACUCGACCUCAUG